GAUGAACGCUGGCGGCGUGCCUAAUACAUGCAAGUCGAGCGAACAGACGAGGAGCUUGCUCCUCUGACGUUAGCGGCGGACGGGUGAGUAACACGUGGAUAACCUACCUAUAAGACUGGGAUAACUUCGGGAAACCGGAGCUAAUACCGGAUAAUAUAUUGAACCGCAUGGUUCAAUAGUGAAAGACGGUUUUGCUGUCACUUAUAGAUGGAUCCGCGCCGCAUUAGCUAGUUGGUAAGGUAACGGCUUACCAAGGCAACGAUGCGUAGCCGACCUGAGAGGGUGAUCGGCCACACUGGAACUGAGACACGGUCCAGACUCCUACGGGAGGCAGCAGUAGGGAAUCUUCCGCAAUGGGCGAAAGCCUGACGGAGCAACGCCGCGUGAGUGAUGAAGGUCUUCGGAUCGUAAAACUCUGUUAUUAGGGAAGAACAAAUGUGUAAGUAACUAUGCACGUCUUGACGGUACCUAAUCAGAAAACCACGGCUAACUACGU
This 496-nucleotide ribosomal RNA is filed under the name uncultured bacterium. Its description in RNAcentral is "partial 16S ribosomal RNA". It matches the Rfam family "Bacterial small subunit ribosomal RNA", at positions 28 to 506 of the family's 1533-position model. The record is from RNAcentral.